AUUGAACGCUGGCGGCAGGCCUAACACAUGCAAGACGAACGAGUGGCGGACGGGUGAGUAAUGUCUGGGAAACUGCCCGAUGGAGGGGGAUAACUACUGGAAACGGUAGAUAAUAACGCAUACCAUCGGAUUUGCCCAGAUGUGAUUAGCUUGUAGGUGAGGUAACGGAUCACCUAGGCGACGAUCCCUAGCUGGUCUGAGCGGAUGACCAGCCACACUGGAACGGAGACACGGUCCAGACUCCUACGUGAGGAAGCAGUGGUGAAUAUUGCACAAUUGGCGCAAGCCUGAUGCAGCCAUGCCGCGUGUAUGAAGAAGGCCUUCGGGUUGUAAAGUACUUUCAGCGGGGAGGCGUUACCCGCAGAAGAAGCACCGGCUAACUCAGUGCCAGCAGCCGCGGUAAUAC
This 406-nucleotide ribosomal RNA is filed under the name uncultured bacterium. Its description in RNAcentral is "partial 16S ribosomal RNA". It matches the Rfam family "Bacterial small subunit ribosomal RNA", at positions 30 to 526 of the family's 1533-position model. The record is from RNAcentral.